AGGGGAGUGGCUCAAUUGGUAGAGUAGUGGUCUCCAAAACCAUUGGUUGCGGGUUCGAAUCCUGUCUCCCCUGCCA
RNAcentral lists this transfer RNA (76 nucleotides) under endosymbiont 'TC1' of Trimyema compressum. RNAcentral's name for it is "tRNA-Trp". It matches the Rfam family "tRNA". From Rfam's summary of the family: Transfer RNA (tRNA) molecules are approximately 80 nucleotides in length. Lineage: Bacteria; Bacillati; Bacillota. The record is from RNAcentral.